GGUAAGUAAUUGCUACGGCGUUAUUUCCCGACCAUAUGGUCAGCCAUUUUUAUCCCCCUUCGGGGAACACACUUAUAGGUUCGGUAGAACACUUAGUCAUUAAUUUAAAAGGUGGUGCCGGC
Molecule: non-coding RNA, 122 nt
Submitted as: unclassified sequences
Source: Rfam